This 89-nucleotide transfer RNA is filed under the name Nesterenkonia sphaerica. RNAcentral describes it as "Nesterenkonia sp. GY239 tRNA-Ser". It matches the Rfam family "tRNA". From Rfam's summary of the family: Transfer RNA (tRNA) molecules are approximately 80 nucleotides in length. Their secondary structure includes four short double-helical elements and three loops (D, anti-codon, and T loops). The record is from RNAcentral. Lineage: Bacteria; Bacillati; Actinomycetota; Actinomycetes; Micrococcales; Micrococcaceae. RNAcentral also lists the same sequence under 2 other names.
GGUGCGGUGACCGAGCGGCCGAAGGUGACGGUCUUGAAAACCGUUGUAGGCAACCCCUACCGUGGGUUCGAAUCCCACCCGCACCGCCA